Long non-coding RNA from Conger conger (European conger), 417 nucleotides. RefSeq lists it as uncharacterized. Lineage: Eukaryota; Metazoa; Chordata; Actinopteri; Anguilliformes; Congridae. The record is from RefSeq and is a predicted model, not a curated record. The transcript has 3 exons.
AGGAAAUCUCCGUGAAAAAACCUCUGCUCAGUUCCAGCGAUGCCCCCUGUGACUCAGACCAUCAACCUCGCAGGGGAGAGGGCACGGCGGAAUGUUUACCUGCGUACUCACCUGGUCCUGCAGCUCCUCCAGAUGGUGGGCUCUCUCCUCCUCGCUGUCCGAGCUGGGGCUGCUCUCUGUCUCGCUCUCGCUGCUGGGCUCGCUCUGUGAGGAAGAGGAGGAGGACGAGGAGGAGGAAGAGUGCACUGCUGACAUGCCCAUCCCACCACCUAGGGACAUGGGGGGAGUCUCCGCCACCAGCUCAUCUGGCACCUUGGCAAAGUGAAAUUCAAACACAUCCUGAGGAGGCGAUGAGGAGAGAGGCAGUGUCAGUACUGCCUACAUUUCCCAGAAUUCUCAGGAAUCUUCACAAUCGGA